UGUAGGAGGAGGACCAGGUAAAUCCGGGCCUCAUAAACUCUGAGACGUGAUACCGAGCCGCUUCAGGCGAAGUCAUUGAUCCUAUGCUGCCUAGAAAAGCCCAGCAGCGAGUUGACAUGGUGCCCGUACCCCAAACCAACACAGGUGGACAGGUAGAGCAUACCAAGGCGAGUGGGAUAACUAUGGUUAAGGAACUCGGCAAAUUGCCUCCGUAACUUCGGGAGAAGGAGGACCCCAGUAGCGUGAUGAGACUUGCUCUCUGAGCGUGAAGGGGUGGCACAAAAUUGAGGGAAGCGACUGUUUACCAAAAACACAGCAGCGUGCUAAGCCGUAAGGCGCUGUAUACGCUGUGACUCCUGCCCGGUGCUGGAAGGUUACGGGGAUGGGUUAGUCCUUCGGGACGAAGCUCUGAACCUAAGCCCCAGUAAACGGCGGCCGUAACUAUAACGGUCCUAAGGUAGCGAAAUUCCUUGUCGGGUAAGUUCCGACCUGCACGAAUGGAGUAACGACUUCCCUACUGUCUCAACCAUAGACCCAGCGAAAUUGAAGUACGAGUAAAGAUGCUCGUUAGCUGCAGAAGGACGGAAAGACCCCGUGGACCUUUACUAUAACUUGAUGUUGUGUUUUGUCAUAUGUUGUGUAGGAUAGGUGGGAGACUUGGAAGCAUGGACGCUAGUCUGUGUGGAGUCAUCGUUGAAAUACCACCCUGCAUAUGGUGAGGCUCUAACCUAGACCCGUUAUCCGGGUUGGGGACAGCGUCAGGCGGGUAGUUUAACUGGGGCGGUUGCCUCCUAAAGAGUAACGGAGGCGCCCAAAGGUCCCCUCAGCCUGGUUGGCAAUCAGGCGUUGAGUGCAAUGGCAAAAGGGAGCUUGACUGCGAGACCUACAAGUCGAGCAGGAGCGAAAGCUGGGCAUAGUGAUCCGGCGGUUGCGUGUGGAAGCGCCGUCGCUCAACGGAUAAAAGGUACCCCGGGGAUAACAGGCUAAUCUUGCCCAAGCGUCCAUAGCGACGGCAAGGCUUGGCACCUCGAUGUCGGCUCAUCGCAUCCCGGGGCUGAAGCAGGUCCCAAGGGUUGGGCUGUUCGCCCAUUAAAGCGGUACGCGAGCUGGGUUCAGAACGUCGUGAGACAGUUCGGUCCCUAUCCUCUGCAGCCGGAGGUGAAUUGAGGAAAGCUGUCCCUAGUACGAGAGGACCGGGGCGGACGCAGCUCUCGUGUGCCAGCUGUCCUGCCAAGGGCAUGGCUGGUUAGCGACCUGCGGAAAGGAUAACCGCUGAAAGCAUCUAAGCGGGAAGCCUCUUCCAAGAUGAAUUCACCCACAGGGUUAACCUGGUAAGGCCCGUGGUAGACCACCACGUUGAUAGGCCGGAAGUGUAAGCGUGGCAACACGUUCAGCUGACCGGUACUAAUCGGCCGAGGGCUUGAGUUC
RNAcentral lists this ribosomal RNA (1428 nucleotides) under metagenome. Its description in RNAcentral is "bacterial LSU rRNA". It matches the Rfam family "Bacterial large subunit ribosomal RNA", at positions 1519 to 2925 of the family's 2925-position model. The record is from RNAcentral.